ACCUUACCAGGUCUUGACAUCCUUUGACCACUCUAGAGAUAGAGCUUUCCCUUCGGGGACAAAGUGACAGGUGGUGCAUGGUUGUCGUCAGCUCGUGUCGUGAGAUGUUGGGUUAAGUCCCGCAACGAGCGCAACCCUUAUUGUUAGUUGCCAUCAUUUAGUUGGGCACUCUAGCGAGACUGCCGGUGACAAACCGGAGGAAGGUGGGGAUGACGUCAAAUCAUCAUGCCCCUUAUGACCUGGGCUACACACGUGCUACAAUGGGAAGUACAACGAGUCGCUAGACCGCGAGGUCAUGCAAAUCUCUUAAAGCUUCUCUCAGUUCGGAUUGCAGGCUGCAACUCGCCUGCAUGAAGCCGGAAUCGCUAGUAAUCGCGUCAGCACG
This 385-nucleotide ribosomal RNA is filed under the name Enterococcus sp. D1KS4. RNAcentral describes it as "bacterial SSU rRNA". It matches the Rfam family "Bacterial small subunit ribosomal RNA", at positions 968 to 1356 of the family's 1533-position model. The record is from RNAcentral. Lineage: Bacteria; Bacillati; Bacillota; Bacilli; Lactobacillales; Enterococcaceae. RNAcentral also lists the same sequence under 3 other names.